Molecule: ribosomal RNA, 492 nt
Filed under: uncultured bacterium
Lineage: Bacteria
Description: partial 16S ribosomal RNA
Rfam family: Bacterial small subunit ribosomal RNA
Source: RNAcentral
AGUGAACGCUGGCGGUAGGCCUAACACAUGCAAGUCGAACGGCAGCACAGUAAGAGCUUGCUCUUACGGGUGGCGAGUGGCGGACGGGUGAGGAAUACAUCGGAAUCUACUUUUUCGUGGGGGAUAACGUAGGGAAACUUACGCUAAUGCCGCAUACGACCUACGGGUGAAAGCAGGGGAUCUUCGGACCUUGCGCGAUUGAAUGAGCCGAUGUCGGAUUAGCUAGUUGGCGGGGUAAAGGCCCACCAAGGCGACGAUCCGUAGCUGGUCUGAGAGGAUGAUCAGCCACACUGGAACUGAGACACGGUCCAGACUCCUACGGGAGGCAGCAGUGGGGAAUAUUGGACAAUGGGCGCAAGCCUGAUCCAGCUAUACCGCGUGGGUGAAGAAGGCCUUCGGGUUGUAAAGCCCUUUUGUUGGGAAAGAAAAGCAGCAGGUUAAUACCCCGCUGUUCUGACGGUACCCAAAGAAUAAGCACCGGCUAACUUCGUG